GUGGGGAAUAUUGGUCAAUGGGCGGGAGCCUGAACCAGCCAAGUCGCGUGAAGGAAGAAGGAUCUAUGGUUCGUAAACUUCUUUUGCAGGGGAAUAAAGUGCAGGACGUGUCCUGUUUUGUAUGUACCCUGAGAAUAAGGAUCGGCUAACUCCGUGCCAGCAGCCGCGGUAAUACGGAGGAUCCGAGCGUUAUCCGGAUUUAUUGGGUUUAAAGGGUGCGUAGGUGGUUUGAUAAGUCAGCGGUGAAAGUUUGCAGCUUAACUGUAAAAAUGCCGUUGAAACUGUCGGACUUGAGUGUAAAUGAGGUAGGCGGAAUGCGUGGUGUAGCGGUGAAAUGCAUAGAUAUCACGCAGAACUCCGAUUGCGAAGGCAGCUUACUAAGCUACAACUGACACUGAAGCACGAAAGCGUGGGGAUCAAACAGGAUUAGAUACCCCGGUAGUCC
RNAcentral lists this ribosomal RNA (445 nucleotides) under uncultured bacterium. RNAcentral describes it as "partial 16S ribosomal RNA". It matches the Rfam family "Bacterial small subunit ribosomal RNA", at positions 354 to 796 of the family's 1533-position model. The record is from RNAcentral.